CCUACGGGAGGCAGCAGUGGGGAAUAUUGCACAAUGGGGGAAACCCUGAUGCAGCGACGCCGCGUGAGUGAAGAAGUAAUUCGUUAUGUAAAGUUCUAUCAGCGGGGAAGAAAAUGACGGUACUUGAGUAAGAAGCCCCGGCUAACUACGUGCCAGCAGCCGCGGUAAUACGUAGGGGGCACGCGUUAUCCGGCGUUACUGGGUGAAAAGGGAGCGGAGACGGCAGGGCAAGUCUGGUGUGAAAGGCGGGGGCUCAACCCCCGGACUGCUCUGGAAACUGGACGGCUGGAGUGCAGGAGAGGUGAGUAGAAGUCCUGGUGUAGCGGUGAAAUGCGUAGAGAUUAGGAGGAACACCAGUGGCGAAGGCGGCUUACUGGACUGUAACUGACGUUGAGGUUCGAAAGCGUGGGGAGCAAACAGGAUUAGAUACCCUGGUAGUC
Molecule: ribosomal RNA, 440 nt
Filed under: uncultured bacterium
Lineage: Bacteria
Description: partial 16S ribosomal RNA
Rfam family: Bacterial small subunit ribosomal RNA
Source: RNAcentral